UGUUAUGGCGGGUUGCGCAGGGACUCCUUCGGGAGUGCCGGGUUCCUAUAUCCCCGGUCCGCCAACCUUGUGCAAUCCGUCACCCUU
Molecule: non-coding RNA, 87 nt
Filed under: Pseudomonas prosekii
Lineage: Bacteria; Pseudomonadati; Pseudomonadota; Gammaproteobacteria; Pseudomonadales; Pseudomonadaceae
Source: RNAcentral